CCUACGGGAGGCAGCAGUGGGGAAUAUUGCACAAUGGGGGAAACCCUGAUGCAGCGACGCCGCGUGAAGGAAGAAGUACUUCGGUAUGUAAACUUCUAUCAGCAGGGAAGAAAAUGAUGGUACCUGUCUAAGAAGCCCCGGCUAACUACGUGCCAGCAGCCGCGGUAAUACGUAGGGGGCAAGCGUUAGCCGGAUUUACUGGGUGUAAAGGGAGCGUAGGCGGCGAUGCAAGUCAGAAGUGAAAGCCCGGGGCUCAACUCCGGGACUGCUUUUGAAACUGUGUUGCUAGAUUGCAGGAGAGGUAGGUAGAAUUCCUGGUGUAGCGGUGAAAUGCGUAGAUAUUAGGAGGAACACUAGUGGCGAAGGCGGCUUACUGGACUAUGAAUGACGCUGAGGCUCGAAAGCGUGGGGAGCAAACAGGAUUAGAUACCCUUGUAGUC
This 440-nucleotide ribosomal RNA is filed under the name uncultured bacterium. RNAcentral describes it as "partial 16S ribosomal RNA". It matches the Rfam family "Bacterial small subunit ribosomal RNA", at positions 338 to 795 of the family's 1533-position model. The record is from RNAcentral.